CUUAGAUAAUCUAAAUUUUAUCUUUAAGAUACUCUCACUUGAUCGAAUCUUAAUGUGAAGGUAUCUUUACCUCUUUGUUUCUCUAAUUCUAGUGUGAAUCCCUUGAACUUUUCAAGAGUUUCAUGUUUGAGUUUUCAUCAAGUAUACUUGAUCAUUGAUGAAAUAAGAGAAACAUUACCUGACAUUGAUUGACAUGAAUCCAUAUGCAUCACUAUGCAUUAGACCAGUAAUUAUGCUGACCUUUCUUCUUUUCAAGCAAAAGAAGAUUUGGUUAUUGUGCCAGACAUGCAUAAUUCUUACUUGUCAAAAUCAAUUAAUCCCAAGUAUACAUCUUUAUGUAACUUUGGAAUUACAUUUCAUCCAAAUGACAAA
This 372-nucleotide long non-coding RNA is filed under the name Olea europaea subsp. europaea. Lineage: Eukaryota; Viridiplantae; Streptophyta; Magnoliopsida; Lamiales; Oleaceae. The record is from RNAcentral.